This 497-nucleotide ribosomal RNA is filed under the name uncultured bacterium. RNAcentral describes it as "partial 16S ribosomal RNA". It matches the Rfam family "Bacterial small subunit ribosomal RNA", at positions 28 to 507 of the family's 1533-position model. The record is from RNAcentral.
GAUGAACGCUGGCGGCGUGCCUAAUACAUGCAAGUCGAGCGAACAGACGAGGAGCUUGCUCCUCUGACGUUAGCGGCGGACGGGAGAGUAACACGUGGUUAACCUACCUAUAAGACUGGGAUAACUACGGGAAACCGGAGCUAAUACCGGAAAAUUUAUUGAACCGCAUGGUUCAAUAGUGAAAGUCGGUUUUGCUGUCACUUAUAGAUGGCUCAGCGCAGCAUUAGCUAGUUGGUAAGGUAACUGAUUACCAACGCGACGAUGCGUAGACGACCUGAAGGGGUGGUCGGGCAGCCGGUAUGUGAGACAGGUCCGAGACUCCGGGAGGAGGCCACAGUAGGGAAUCUUCCGCGAGGGAGGAGAGCCUGACGGUGCAACGUCGGGUGAGUCAUGAAGGUGUUAUGAUCGUAAAGCUAUGUUAUUAGGGAAGAUCAAAUGUUUAAGUAACUAGGCACAUAUUGACGGUACCGGAUGAGAAAGCCACGGCUAACUACGUG